Pteropus alecto (black flying fox) is the source of this 1398-nucleotide long non-coding RNA. RefSeq lists it as uncharacterized. The transcript has 2 exons. NCBI's taxonomy places the organism in Eukaryota, Metazoa, Chordata, Mammalia, Chiroptera, Pteropodidae. The record is from RefSeq and is a predicted model, not a curated record.
CCACUGCCCCAGGCCUGAGGCUCCGCAGACCCCGCCCAGCCAUCCUGGAGCAUGCGGCCCAGGGCUGCACGCUGCUGCUCACUUUGAAACCCAAGACGUCUGAUGAUAAUAUCACCAGGGACCGAGCGGGGUCUGCUGUUGAUUGCGUUUGCCGUCCUGGCUGAGCCCAGCGUGGGGGGGAGGCGCAUAAAAAGCUUAUUCAUGCGGGUCAGGGUGAUCCAGCACCCCCGCCCCGGGCAGCAUAUGUCCUCCCCCGGAGGCUGCCUGCUGGGUGUCCGGUGGGCGGGCGCAGAGGCUGCUUGGGGCUCACAGAUGGACAUUCAUUCUCCUUGAGGGGGCGUCUCUUUCUGGAGAGGGGCCGGUCCGGGCCAGCGCCCACCCUUUAGGCCCUGUUGAAGGGUGUGUGACCCCCACCCCAGUAGGAAAUGCCUCUCCGCGCUCCGCAUUCCACGGGGGAAACCAGCCCACGAGUGACACGCGACCCACUCGGAAGCCAGCGGCCCAUCCGGAAGGCCCUGAUCUCUCUCCAAAGUCAGACCCGGGCAGCACCGGGCGAGGACAGAUUCCUGUCCAUUCCCCGGCACCGGGGCCUCCACGAGCUUGGUCACCACUGAACACCAGAGCCCCUUUCUCGAGACAAAUGGCCUUCCUCCAAGAGUGACUGGCCAUGCUGGACAGCCACGAGCCAGCCAAGGCCCAGACACUGACCCCGAGCCUCCCUGCCGGGGUGCGCGGUGCCCACGUCUGGGCAGAAACGGCUGCUCGGCCCCAGGAAGGACAGGCGUGACAGGCCUUGAAAACGAACGUCACUCAAGGGGAGCCAGGCACGUGAGGACACACGUGUGUGACCCGCUGACGGGAGGGGUCCGGAGCCAGCAGAUCGCUGACGGGAGGGGUCCGGAGCCAGCAGAUCGCGGCAGACGGUGGCCGCGGGGGCUGGCGGGGGGAGGAGGCGUGUCUGCUGAUGGCCACGGGCCUUCCUUCCGGGGUGAUGACGAGAUUUUGAAACUAGACAGAGGUGACAGUUUCACCACAUUGUGAAAGGACCACGUGUCGCUAAAUUGCACACUUUAAAAUGGUUUAAAUAGUUAAUCGUAUAUUUGGAUUUUUACCUAAAAAAGGAAAAAGCUGCUUGCAGAGUUCCCUGAGGCCAGAGCCCCCAAGCCCUGCACACCCCCUUUGUUCACUAGACACUGGGUACGGCUUAGAACAGCUCCAGCCCCUGUACCACUGACCCUCCUAAAGCGGGAGGCUGGGGACAGAGGGGCCAGGACAGUGACCAAGGUAUGGCACUGUGACUGAUGUCUCCUUGUAAAGCUUAUUGGGUUUAAGAUGAUCCGUUUUAUUUCUAAAAGUUAAUGCUGUGUCGUUUUCGUCAAUAACUCUGUGUGGGAAUAA